GGGACUUUAGCUUAAUUAAAGUAUCUGGGUUGCAUUCAGAACAUGUGAGGUUGUCUUGCAAGUCCUA
RNAcentral lists this transfer RNA (67 nucleotides) under Eurycea paludicola. RNAcentral describes it as "tRNA-Ala". Lineage: Eukaryota; Metazoa; Chordata; Amphibia; Caudata; Plethodontidae. The record is from RNAcentral.